AGACAGCAGCCGCCGCGGUAAUACGAAGGGGGCUAGCGUUACUCGGAAUUACUGGGCGUAAAGGGCGCGUAGGCGGCACGAUUAGUCAGGCGUGAAAUUCCUGGGCUCAACCUGGGGACUGCGCUUGAUACGGUCGAGCUAGAGGAUGGAAGAGGGUUGUGGAAUUCCCAGUGUAGAGGUGAAAUUCGUAGAUAUUGGGAAGAACACCGGUGGCGAAGGCGGCAACCUGGUCCAUUACUGACGCUGAGGCGCGACAGCGUGGGGAGCAAACAGGAUUAGAUACCCCCGUAGUCCCUGUCUCUUAUAC
Molecule: ribosomal RNA, 307 nt
Filed under: uncultured bacterium
Lineage: Bacteria
Description: partial 16S ribosomal RNA
Rfam family: Bacterial small subunit ribosomal RNA
Source: RNAcentral